RNAcentral lists this ribosomal RNA (460 nucleotides) under uncultured bacterium. Its description in RNAcentral is "partial 16S ribosomal RNA". It matches the Rfam family "Bacterial small subunit ribosomal RNA", at positions 338 to 795 of the family's 1533-position model. The record is from RNAcentral.
CCUACGGGAGGCAGCAGUGAGGAAUAUUGGUCAAUGGGCGCGAGCCUGAACCAGCCAAGUAGCGUGAAGGAUGACUGCCCUACGGGUUGUAAACUUCUUUUAUAAAGGAAUAAAGUGAGGCACGUGUGCCUUUUUGUAUGUACUUUAUGAUUAAGGAUCGGCUAACUCCGUGCCAGCAGCCGCUGUAAUACGGAGGAUCCGAGCGUUAUCCGGAUUUAUUGGGUUUAAAGGGAGCGUAGAUGGGUUGUUAAGUCAGUUGUGAAAGUUUGCGGCUCAACCGUAAAAUUGCAAUUGAUACUGGCAGCCUUGAGUACAGUUGAGGUAGGCGGAAUUCGUGGUGUAGCGGUGAAAUGCUUAGAUAUCACGAAGAACCCCGAUUGCGAAGGCAGCUUACUAAACUGUGACUGACAUUGAUGCUCGAAAGUGUGGGUAUCAAACAGGAUUAGAUACCCGAGUAGUC